Molecule: ribosomal RNA, 462 nt
Filed under: Gyraulus sp. clade A TS-2018
Lineage: Eukaryota; Metazoa; Mollusca; Gastropoda; Planorbidae
Description: partial 16S ribosomal RNA
Rfam family: Bacterial large subunit ribosomal RNA
Source: RNAcentral
UCGCCUGUUUAUCAAAAACAUAGUUUUAUGGUUAUAUAUAAAAUAUUUUCUGCCCAGUGUCAAUAGAUAAAUGGCCGCAGUACCUUGACUGUGCUAAGGUAGCAUAAUCAAUUGGCUUUUAAUUGAAGUCUAGAAUGAAUGGGAUAAUGGAAUUUAGCUGUCUUGAUUUUUUUUAAUAAAAAUUUAUUUAUAAGGUGAAAAUACCUUAAAUUAUAAUAAAGACGAGAAGACCCUAUGAAUUUUCAAUUUUUUUUUGUUGGGGCGACAGUUUAAAAUAUAAUCUUAAAUUUUAACUAUAUAACGAUUUUUUUUAAUAAAAAUUAAAUUACCUUAGGGAUAACAGCAUUAUUAUUUAAAUAGUUUGUGACCUCGAUGUUGGACUAGGAACUAAAAGGCUAACCGUCUUUAUAGAUUUGUUCUGUUCGAACAAUUUUAUCCUACGUGAUCUGAGUUCAGACCGGA